CAAAGCUCCUGCCUCCCUCCCAUUUUAAUCUGUGUCAAUUAAAAUGCAUCAGACCAUUUUAGCGCUCCUGAAUGAAUGAAAUGCAAAAUGCUGCUACACUGGACUUUGCUGCUGUGGUCAAAUCUAGCUGCAAACAGUGGCUUAAAAUUGUUUACACCUUCAGCCACUUCAGGAGGCGAUUUGGAGAUCCUCAGCGGAAUACUAAUACUUCCAGAAGUCUUUUAAUUUUAAGCAAGUGAAGGGGCAGAAUUUGAGGCACAGCUAGCUCUGCUUUUAACAAAACACUAAUCUCUCACUUUCAUAACAUCUUUUGAUUUAAAGGGGCUCAAGCUGAGGCCCUCAUCCUUCUGAGAGCAUGGCACAGCCAGAGCCGGGAGCCUUGGCCAGGCUGCUGGGAUCAGGAGGGCCCUGCACAGACCAGUGAGCCCAUCUGCAUGAUCAUCCUGCGGGGUGAGGGCUGAGCUGCCACGGCCCAGGCACCCUGCACGGACUUUCUUCCCGAGGAUGGCCUGUUUGCAAACACUGCCUGGCAGCGCCGUCGCUGCUGGAUGAGGACGCUGGAAAUGGAAGCUGAGCCUCGCUGCACCCUUGGGUGCCCAGCCCUCCUUGCUGUGGGUGCUCCUUCACCGUGCCCCAGGGCUCAGCGCAGCAUCCACCCCGGGUGCCCCCACCAUCAUCCCCAUGGCCCUCCUGCUGCCCCAGCCCUGCCAGCCACCGCCGCCCUUCUAUGGAGAACCAGACCUGAAGAGAGCUCAAAUUAAAUGCUUUGGUGGAGCUGCGUCCCCGUGGGUGCCACCAGAGCCUGUGCUGGGCUGGUCCAGCUGGGCAGAGCAAGAGGCGCUUUGGGCACUCCCUCUCUCAUUCCAGCAUGAGCGGAACUCCACCCGAGCUGUGAAACCCAACCUGAGCUGUGGAACCCCUCCUGAGCUGUGGAACCCAACCUGAGCUGUGGAGCCUCACCUGAGCUGUGGAACCCUGAGCUGUGGAGCCCCACCUGAGCUGUGGAACCCUGAGCUGUGGAGCCCCACCUGAGCUGUGGAACCUUGAGCUGUGGAACC
RNAcentral lists this long non-coding RNA (1058 nucleotides) under Zonotrichia albicollis (white-throated sparrow). Its description in RNAcentral is "lncRNA (ENSZALG00000010979.1)". Lineage: Eukaryota; Metazoa; Chordata; Aves; Passeriformes; Passerellidae. The record is from RNAcentral.